GGAAGUAAAAGUCGUAACAAGAUUUCCGUAGGUGAACCUGCGGAAGGAUCAUUAUUGUAUAACCGAGGUGCGAGGGCUGUCGCUGACCCGAAAGGUCGUGCACGCCCGAGUGCCCUCACACACAUCCAUCUCACCCCUAUGUGCACCACCGCGUGGGUCCCCCUUUGGCUUGUUCGGAGGGGGGCUUACGUUUUCACACAAACUUUGUAUGCAGUGUAGAAUGUAUCUUUUGUUUUUGCGAUCACGAAAUCAAUACAACUUUCAACAACGGAUCUCUUGGCUCUC
This 285-nucleotide unclassified non-coding RNA is filed under the name plant metagenome. RNAcentral describes it as "partial contains small subunit ribosomal RNA, internal transcribed spacer 1, and 5.8S ribosomal RNA". The stretch from base 1 to 54 matches the Rfam family "Eukaryotic small subunit ribosomal RNA", at positions 1778 to 1831 of the family's 1831-position model. The record is from RNAcentral.